Molecule: non-coding RNA, 223 nt
Filed under: Paenibacillus sp.
Lineage: Bacteria; Bacillati; Bacillota; Bacilli; Caryophanales; Paenibacillaceae
Description: T-box sequence
Rfam family: T-box leader
About the family: Uncharged tRNA acts as the effector for transcription antitermination of genes in the T-box leader family. T-boxes are found upstream of many aminoacyl-tRNA synthetase genes and some amino acid biosynthetic genes usually in Gram-positive bacteria.
Source: RNAcentral
UGUUAUACGUUGAUAGAGCGCAGUAGCAGCUUUGUCCCUGUUGCAGAAAGUCAGGGGUUGAUGAGACCUGACACAUACAUGGGCUGCGAAUUACACUCUGGAGUAUCUUGGGUAAUGCCAAGCGGCAGGGCGAACGAUAUUUCGCCAAAAGCGGCAUGAGCAGCUUUUUUUCAAGCUGUUUGUGCAAGUUGGGUGGUACCACGGUUAUUCAAUCGUCCCUAUG